Molecule: long non-coding RNA, 461 nt
Filed under: Gallus gallus (chicken)
Lineage: Eukaryota; Metazoa; Chordata; Aves; Galliformes; Phasianidae
Source: RNAcentral
CGCAUCGAGCCAGUGGUGCUGCAAUCCAGAUCACCCGCCCAUAGACAGCACCAUUUCUCUGGAAAAUGGCACCACCACUCUACUCCUUCCCCGAUUCAGUAUUCUGGUGCUUUUUGUGUGCUUUAAUAAAGAAGAAAUGAAACCCCAAACUGCGUCUCAAGUACAGAAGGUUCACCUGCUCUGGCUGCUGAGAGAUGUUUAUUGACAACACCUUCUGGGCUGUCCAGGCAGAAGAUUCAAGGAGAAAGCACCUCAGGAUCCAGAUCAACUACCGAAAAUCAAAUUGUGGCCCAAUUAUCAUCAAAAAAAUUGGGUGAGGUCAACAGCCCCACCCGAAGGGUAUUUUUCCUUGUUGCAGCAGUUCAGGACAUAAUUUGCUGCCUACCAUAACCAUAAUGUUUUUUAAAUUGAGUUCCUUCUGAAUGUAAUUUACUGCUAUGGUUUACUGAGCUUAUUUUAAC